Molecule: long non-coding RNA, 572 nt
Organism: Clupea harengus (Atlantic herring)
Lineage: Eukaryota; Metazoa; Chordata; Actinopteri; Clupeiformes; Clupeidae
Source: Ensembl
UUGGGGGCAUUUUGUUUUCAUUUUAUCAGACGCUGUGUGUUGGGUGUCACUAGCCCUCUAGUGAGACAAAAAGUGGGCAGGCAAAAGUGUAGUAGUUUACAAAACUUCUCAAUCACUGCUGCUAAAGGCUCUUCUUUCGAGGGGCAAACUUUUUUUGCAGAACCUUUUAGAGACAGGUGACCUGAGACACACAUGGCAGAUCGGACUCUGAGGUCAAGGGGCUCCUUCGUAGCUCCAACCGUGUCUGCGGACUACACCUCGACAAAAGAGGACAGAGUUCUCAGAAAAAGAGAAUGAGUUUCGGGGUGAGCUGGUGAAUCAGCGGUGGACGCGAGGCGAGAGGAUCAGCCGCUGCGGACACACACUCCGACUAAAGAGCCCGCCAAUCAACGUGAGUGACACACAUAAACACACACACACACACACACACACACUUCACUGAGUGUGUCACUGAGGGUCAGAGUGGGUGUGCAUGUGUGUGCUUGUGUAUUUAAAUGUGUGGCUGUGUGUGCGUCUCUCUCUCUCCCUCUCUUUCUCUGUGAGGCUGUGUGUAUGUAUGUAUGUGUGUGAGU